RNA transcript from Haliotis rubra (blacklip abalone), 8349 nucleotides. RefSeq lists it as uncharacterized. NCBI's taxonomy places the organism in Eukaryota, Metazoa, Mollusca, Gastropoda, Lepetellida, Haliotidae. The record is from RefSeq and is a predicted model, not a curated record. The transcript has 30 exons.
UGACAGUAUGCUGCUGUCACUCCAGUUAAUCGGGUGUAGUGUUUCUCGAGAUAUGGCGUAACUAUGAAAAUAACAACAGCAUUGCUGCGCUCAAAAGCGACGGGACCGCUACCUUCCCUGGAGUACUUGGACUUGUCACAACUCGGGUUGGCAUCCAUUGAGAAACUAAGCAGUUGCCCCAAACUCCAGACUCUGAAGCUACGUGGAAAUAAUAUUUGUGAAGUUUAUAACUUGGAAUAUUGUACUCAUUUGUGGCACUUGGACUUCAGUAAUAACAAGAUCCAAUGUCUGGACGGGCUGUCCAGGUUCCUGGCUGUAGGGACUCUUAUUCUGGCUGGCAACAACCUCACAUGGAAAGAGCUGGUCAAAAUACGACAUCUUCAUAUCCUCAACCUCAGUCUCCAUGGCAACCCACACCUGGAAAAAGAUCCCUACUAUCGGAUCCAUGUGAUUGACUGUCUGCCCAAUAUCUGGAUGCUGGAUGGAAGAAUUGUCACUUCGGCGGAGAGACUGCAGGUGAAACACUUCUUCCAGGACUCAGCGCUCACCGAACAUCCUGUUAGACACAAGCUAGGCAGGGAAUGGUUUAUACCUAGCGCACUGAAGAAAAUACAGGUGAACGGGAUCUUCGGGGACAAGUCUAAACAUCUGCUAACAAAGUUCCCUAUAAACGCUGUUCAUAAUAUAGAAAUUGAUCAAAGACGACUUAAGUACUUAGCUUUCAAUUUACAAGAGGACCUCACAAUAGAGAGGAAGUACACUAAGAGGGACUUCCAGGUGCUGCGUUACCGCCGGACAUUCCUGGAGGACCUGCUGGACGUCCGGCCCACUGACCGGGAGAGAUGCAAUAUGUUGCUGCUGCUACUGGUGGCAUCCCUAGAGUUUGUAAUGCCCACACACCUGGUGAAGGAGACGCUGGAGACAGCCAAGCUGGGGAAGAUAGGGAAGGUGUACACCAUGGACCUGUUCUUGCUGCCCAAGGACGUGCGGUGUCAGGUGGUGGGGAUCCUGCUGUCGGCCAUCAAGGUGGACAAGGACAUCAGGGAGGAUGGAGGAUUGUACGACCGCCUGUACCUGUGCCUGUUCUACACCGUGGCGGAACUCACUCGACUCAGUCAGUCCAACUCCCAGGGGGACUCACAGACUACUGGCAAGAUGCACAACAUCUACCGAGAUUACAAGUGUCUCCUGGCAUCAGAGAUUGUUCAACUGAUGUGUAUUGUCCCGGCGUUCUUUGAGUAUAUGGAGAAGGAUGUUGGAGUGAUGAACUUGGUAACCACGGGAACAGGAGACCGGAGCAUUAUUGGAAAAAUUUCCCAACUUGCUGAGAGCUACAGGACUGAGAGGAGAGAUGUGCGGGCAUUGUACGAGGACAUUGCUGAGAUUCUCCUACAGAAGGUUCAGGAACAGACGAUGAAUCUCACCAACAAAUCUCCACGAGAGCCUGUGAGCGACAAAGUACUGAGCACGUCUGGGUCGGUGAAGAGAGCCAAGACCCCUGUAGAUGUGUCGGAAUACCACAUGAAAGGGGUGACCAGCCCCGACUCAGACCCCCCUGUUGUCCAGUGUCACACACCCAGGAAAAACACACCCAAAUUUCCACAUUUAGGAGAUGUCCUGUUAUUAGGACCGCAGACAAUUGGAAAAGUCAUCUCUUUACCUCAGCCAUUCCUGGCAUUGGUAGCCAUGGACGCUGUCCCAGUGUCCAAUGGUGCAAUGGUCAGCAAGCUGCGGGACUCGGAUGACCACUACACAUAUGUCAACAUGAGGCAACUGGAGUGGGAUGUGCAGUAUAACCUGUGGAAGCCUUUGGGCACUGUUGGGGACAGAUACACAAUACAGAGCACAGACGAAAUGCGGAAGGAGCUGGAGCGACGGGCAGCCAUCAUCUAUCACACAUCGCGGCCCAACUCUCCUGACAGUGCUAUGCUGGAACCCCCGGCGCGGGAACCUACCCCCCUCAUCUACACCAGCUACAGGCCAGACACGCCUCUGGAUACCCCCAAACCAAAGUUACAGAGUCACCGGCCACCAAGACCGAUGUCAUCCAUCCUGAAGGAGAAGCUGGACCUGAAGCUGGACAUGACCCACAGAGCACAGUCAGCUAGGGUAGUGCGAGACCAGUAUAGGCACCCAGCAUCGGCAGGAGCAACACUCGCAACAUCACAUUCAGCACAUCAUCUCAACAGGCAGGACAACUUCACCAAGGCAGUACAAAACAGGAAGAGUAGGACAGCAGUUCGACAGAUACUGGAUGACUGUGUGAGCCUGGCGAUGGACAUCGGUGAUGGGGAUGCAGAGGAGGAGGAAGAGGUGGAGGGUUCUGUCCAGGGGUCCCUGCUGGUGCAGAUAGACGGACACUCAACCCCAUCGGCUGCAGACAGGCAGUACAACAGAUCAGACCCAGACUUUCAUUCAGACGAGGAGCCAGAGUUACAGUCUCUUCAUGCAGACAACUCCAAGUCACCCUCCUCUUCAUCUAAGGGAGGCAACUACAAUAGACCAGCAUCAGAGUUGCCUCCCCCUGUUCAUUUUGAGGUCCAGCUGCCCAGUGUGUUGGAAGGGGAGAGUGAACCCAACACAGGGAGGGAGAGGGGGACAAGAGCUCAGGGGAAGUUACGGAAGGGGAUCACCAACAGCGUCCACAGCAAGAAAGCCACACCUGGAAGGAGUAGUCGACCAUUCAGUGCGGUGGACGCCUACCGGUACUUCGUGACUGCCCAACCGGCCAGUCGGCCACAGAGUGGCUACAACACAGACUUCCAGAGAGCUCGAACAGAAGUGUGGAAGAAACGGGCGUCAGUUCCCUCCACACCCACAGCCAAACAACCACCCCUGCAGAGACCAACGUCCCCUGCCCUGACGGGGACCCCCUCCAGCAGACUACACAUCCACCGGGCGGAAUACUGGAUGGGAGGGGGACGGGACCUGUACUGGGAGCAGCAGUUGAAGCGCCCCAAGUCCGGCCACACCCCUGGGUGGAAGGAUGGCCUCCCUGACAGCAUGAAGAGACGACCCAAGUCAGCCGUAGCCAUGAGGACACUACGGCGAUCAAAGGCUCCCAAUGUUAUCACACCGUCUUCCAUAGCCUACGAAGCCAUGCUGGCAGGCUAUUCUAACCCCGAUCUACCGCAGCUACCCAACCUAUCAGACUACAGACCGCUGUCCCAGCAGCUUGGGUUGCCACGACGACUAGGGUCCCCACCGCCAGGGGUCGAGGACUUCUACGCUGAACCUACCCAAGAUACAGUUUAUAGGUAGAGCUAGCCACACCCAGGGCCAUCGGCAUGCUGCCUCCUCCACCUGCAUUGUCACUCCUGAUACCAACGUCUCCUUCACACCUGCAUGUACAUGUCUCACGGCGAAACUAGUAGCUUUGUUGUCAGUAGUGCCAGAUGGCUGAUGGUCCCCAGAGUUGACUUGCAGAGAUACAUGCUGUAGAUGGGAUAUACAGGGAUACUACAAACUCAGACACAGACACAGGAAGUCUUUUCUAAUAGCGACAAUCACCUUAUCUUCAACUUAAGAUACUCAGAGCUCAGUGUGUUUUCUCUAGUCCCAGAGAAGUUUGAGUUAACCAAGGCCCCAUUUCACAAAGCUAUUGUAGCCCUACGACUGUCGUAAGUCUAUGUUACAGUAUAGGAGGUGCGAAUGCUACAAGAAAAGAGAUCUAGAGAUCUAAGGCUUACGAGAGCUUUGUGAAAUGCAAUUCCAUUGAAGUAAGAUCUUUUGCUGCUGUAUGAUACACGUCUGUGUUCAGACCUGAGGAGGGUGUCUAAACUAACUGAUCAGGUGUGCGAGGUGAACUUUCUGAUCAUCCAGUCAGCAUCCGGGAUUCCAUAUUUUCAGACCAACUGAGUGAAGCAUUCAUACCAGAUUAUCAGAAUUCUGUAUGUCAGAAACAAGCUUAAGCAACAUUUCCUGAAAGCUAUUACCAAAUGCUGUACCAGAGAAAACAUAUUACACUAAACUUUUUGUUGAGUCAUCCUCAGAUCGUAUUGCAUAGGCAUUGUAUACGAGAGGAAACCAUGUUAUAAUUAGGUGAACAGAUUUGUUUAGUUUGAAUCCAUCGGUUUCUAAAUUAUUACAGUUGUGAGACAUUGUCUGGUGUAUUUUGCAAUGUCAACUCUGUGGAUCAUCAGCCUGUAUGCUUAUACCAAAGAAUGAUAUUUUGUAGAUUUUGUUCAUGCUGUAGUAUGAUGUGAUAUGACACACCGCAAUUAUGAAAUUCAUCAAACUGUGACCGAAAUGAAUUUUUAUGCAUUGAAUUAGCCCACAAGGUUAGUACAUCUUUUGCUCCUCAGAAAUAUGAUCUUUUACAGUAAUAUUUAUAUUUCAGGGGUGACUUCAAGAAAACAUACCCAUUAUUAAGUGAUCAGUAUAGAUGAAUCAUUGUUUCAUACUUAACUCCUCAGGUUGGUUCAAUGAAUAUGAUACUCUGAUUAUUCAUUUCUGCUUACAAGCUUUAAUCCUAAGUAUUUGCGGUGUGCCAUUACAUUUCAUAUCAUCUAGAGUUUUAUUUGACUUCUACACCUCAGAGUAUUGUUUUUGUGAUAUUAACUGGUGCCAUUAUGUAAGUUAUAAAAUACCAGGAUGACUGCUGUAAUUGGUAUUGACGUACUCAUGUAGAUAUCAUGUAACUUAUCAGUGUCACCUGAUGUACAUAGCAGUUGCAUGUAGAACAUGUAUCUACCUAUCAGCAUGCAUGUAUAUAACAUCGUCAUUAUCAGGACUUCCACAGUGUAAGAGUGUCUUCAUUGCCAUGCAGUGAUGAUGUGUCUAUUUGAAAAUUGACAAGUCAUCGACAUCACUGAGGCAUGGCCAGCUCCCCAGUGAUGUUGUGUCCAUUUUGAAAUUGACAGGUCAUUGACAUUACUGUAUCAAUAUCAACAUGAUGGAAAUGACAUUACUUUGUAACUCACUUCUCAGGUUUUAGAAACCAGUUAUUCAUACAGCUACAUUAUCUCAUGUGUAUAGUUAAACUAUUUAAAUCAAAUAAUAAGGUAACUGUUUAUUGUGAAUAUUUUCUCUUUCCGAAGACAUAUUAAUGUGCAUAGUUGUUUUGUUUUUCUCCUUAAGUUAUUUCAUGUGUAAUUAAAUCAGUCUGUGAUAUAUAUUUUAAUUGAAAUAAACCAUACAUUUGUUAAAUGUAUCUAUGACGUUCUUUUUUCAGAUCAAAAUGAAUUAUGCACAGUUUUAACAAUAAAACUUUGAUUUUUGUCCUGAGGUUCUAUGCAUGUGUAGACACUGAAGACCUAACUGUAUUUAUCAGAAUCACAGAAGAUUUGUCAAGUGCUACUGACAAGAUAAGAUUUAUUUAUUUAUGAGAAACAUUCAGCUUGAGUUGUAAUAAAUAUGUACCAAUAUAUAUUCAAGUGAGGUCAAUCUAGAAUAAGAUAAUAACAGACUUUAUUUGGCUUGUUUGAUUGAAAAUAUUCAGAUAUCUUUUGUUAAAUCUUUGUUAAAACUUUUCUUUCAAUAAUAUUGGGGCGGCGGGAUAGUAUAGAGGUCAAAGCAUUGGCUCAUGAUGCCAAAGACCCGGGUUCAAUUCCUCACAUGGGAUCAAGGUGUGAAGCCCAUUUCUGGUGUCCCCUGCCAUGAUAUUGCUGAAAAUUUCCUAAAAGUCCUUACUCACUCAAGCACUAUUUCAGUAAUGUAUUAAUCUGACCAUAUUUUGAAAAAAAAAUCUAUCUUUUAUCUCCUUUGAUAAACAAAAACUGUAAAAAGAGGGACAAAAGGAUUAAUUCUGCCUUCUGUGAAAUGUAAAACACCACCAACACCAUGUUUUUCUCUUGUGGAAUGAACAACUUAUUAGGGAAGAUUUGUUACUAUAUUAACAUGCAUGUACCAGGUAUAUGAAAAAUCAGAGUUUUAGUGUUGUGUGUGUGUGUGUGUGUUCUCAGUAGAGCACUGCGUAUCUGUACAAUAAAUGGUAUACUUACAGGUAAUUCUACAGCUUUGAUGCAUCCCUCAUUUCCUGCAUGGAGUGUUGUGUACAAUGUUGUUUGCUUCACCCUUAGCUUUCUCCCCAACUGCAACAAGUUUGACCUUGCAUGCAUUUGACCUUGACCUCAUGACCUAUUGACCUUUGGUGACCCUGGUGUAUCUAGCUCCACCAUGACUCUAACUUGGAGAUGGUGGCACCAGAAACUGCUUCGAUGUUGAGAUGUAUAAUCGGCUGACACUUGAAAGGCUGAGACUCUGCUAUCCUAUCUCCGCUGACUGAGUGGGCGCACUAUCUAACCAGUAUAAUCAGUGGUCAGCCAUGUUGUCUGCAGUGCAUCUAUGAACAGUUCAUGCAGGAGUACAAGACAGAGGUGGAGUACGACAGCGACAGAUAGAGGGGAAUGCAGCAUCCAUGGAUACAUGUCACCAGACUUGAACUCUGUCUGUUCAGUUGAAUUAUGCCAGUCGUUGGACACUGAUCUAUAACAUGGCAGAUAUGUACUUUGUCCCAAUAAAACAUUCCACCCCUUACACACCCUCCACAAUUGAACAUAAAUAAUUGAUAAGUUGCAAAUAUGUGAAUGAUCAUUAUUUCAGUCGUAACACAGCAGAUGCCACCAAGAAAGUAAACUUUCAUCUGAUCAGCGACAGCUAUAGCCCUGCAGUACAUGAAGAUUGGGGCUGUUAGCUCUGUGAGUAAGGUGAUAGAAAACAUAUGCCAUAUAGGAGUGGACACAAAUACCAUGUAUGGGAAGAAAGUACUGUUAUUUCUUUACAAACAUGUACAUUGCACAACUACUAGUAACUACUCUUCUUGAGGUCAUUUUACAUAAACAAACACCGCAGAAUGCCUGAGUGGGUCUGAGGUCCUGUCAUAGACCUGAUGGGGUCACGUCUGAGGGUUAUUGUUUUCGCAUAGACAACUUCUUUAUUGAAAUAGAUGUGACGUUUCGGUGCUGGUGCUAACACAGUUAUCAUCAUUUGCUUGAUAACAGUGUUAGCAUCUACACUGAAACAUCGCAUCUAUUGCUGUAAAGAAGUUGUCUAUCUAUAAAAAGUGUUCCUCCUUGACUUUGACUUGAAACAUUACUUAUGCAGGUACAAGUGGUGCAUUGUGUGUUUAUUUGCUAUCACACGUUGAAUGAACACUCACAUUGUUUAAAACCAAUAUUGCCACUAUGUUGGCCAUUGUGAAUUUGUUACUUUAUUUUCAAGCUUUUAUUCUAGUGCUUCUAUUUUAUGAAAUCAAAGUAUGUUAUGGUAUAAAUAUACCUCUCUACUUUUGAUAAGGAUAUUGUUAUCUUUCCAUGAAGCACAAAACCUACUGUCAUAAUGUAAAUAUUGUCAUAAUAUAAUGUUUACAUCAAAACUAGAAUGACAUUAUCGGACGAUGUCUUUCAGAAGUUGAGCAUUAUAUUACAUUUGUGAAAUCAGUAUUGCAUUAUGAGUACAGCAUUAUUGUAGGAUGGGUAUGUGGAGUCAUUCAUUAUUGUGUGGUGGCAUCAGGGUAACCGAAACAUUGGAUAUAUGUCACCUGGAAUAGUGCCCGGCUAUAAUUUAACACAGGACAGGUAUCUGAUACAGUUGUUUAUACAUUUAGGCAGUCAGAAUAAACGUGAAUAUUUAGAGUGUGUACCUCUUAAUUAGGUGUUGGAGUAUCAGUGUUUACACAUGCCUACAGAAUUUGAGCUCCUAGUGUGUGGAGUGGUUCAAGACAGUGAUGGUAAGUAUGUUGUAGUAAUGUACAUGUAUUAUAUGAAAGGAAGAAGCAGAGUCAUGUGUUUCACAAUACCACGUACUGAAGUAUUGUUAGUUACUUCAUGUUAGUAUCCAGGGUGACAUCAAUAAAAACAAUUGUCGCUUUUGGGAUGACAACGCUGAUGCAACAUUGAAUUUUAACUCUCUCAAAAAUGAUACUUGUCCUGUGUUAUGUUAUCAGAGUCAGUUUUUUAAGUGGUUGGUGGGGACGAAGCAGUUCUUCUUGGGGUCAAUUGCCCCGAUAUCCGGGAUGAGAAUGAAGUUUUGAGAAAAACUCUGAAAACUAGCCGAGGGCCAAAUCGAGGCCAAAUUAUACGGAUUUAGAUGAUUCACAAAAAUGACCCUUGGCCUUAUGAAAUUCCCGGAAUUCCGCGAAAAUUCAAAUCCCUGGAUAUCAGGAAUAUGAAAUGAUUAACUGAAUUGUGUUCGUCAAUUGUUUUGUAAUUAAUGUUUUCAUUUCAUUAUAAUGUAGUAUAUUUGUUUGCUAGUUCAUGAAUGGGAUACAUUAUUGAGAUGAAUCUGAAUGUUUGUAUUUAUGUAUUUCAUAUGUUGUGUGCAUCUGUUUGAUGCAGUGGUGAAGCGUGAUGUUUCACAAUACACAGAUCAAACUGUUUAUUACUGUAUAAAGAUGAGAUCAGCUUUCAA